GCCUUCGUGGUGAAGUGGUCAGCAUGCUCGACGCAUAUUCGAGAGGUCCGUGUUCAAGUCCCUGUGACGGCA
Molecule: transfer RNA, 72 nt
Filed under: Stegodyphus mimosarum
Lineage: Eukaryota; Metazoa; Arthropoda; Arachnida; Araneae; Eresidae
Rfam family: tRNA
About the family: Transfer RNA (tRNA) molecules are approximately 80 nucleotides in length. Their secondary structure includes four short double-helical elements and three loops (D, anti-codon, and T loops). Further hydrogen bonds mediate the characteristic L-shaped molecular structure. tRNAs have two regions of fundamental functional importance: the anti-codon, which is responsible for specific mRNA codon recognition, and the 3' end, to which the tRNAs corresponding amino acid is attached (by aminoacyl-tRNA synthetases). tRNAs cope with the degeneracy of the genetic code in two manners: having more than one tRNA (with a specific anti-codon) for a particular amino acid; and 'wobble' base-pairing, i.e. permitting non-standard base-pairing at the 3rd anti-codon position.
Source: Rfam by way of RNAcentral